GAGAGCCCCGUAAAGCCUUGGAAAGUAAGCCAUGUGAGGUGUUUUUGACGAGNCNGGNUUGUUUGGGAAUCAGCCCUAAAUGGGAGGUAAAUUCUCUAAAGCAAAUAUAGGCAAGAGACCGAUAGCGAACAAGUACCGUGAGGGAAAGAUGAAAAGAACUUUGAAAAGAGAGUUAAACAGUAUGUGAAAUUGUCAAAAGGGAACGGCGUGGAAUCAGUCAUGCCGUCCUGGGAUUCAGCGUCGAGGCGGCCCCCAGCUAGGGUUCGGAGCGCGUGUACUUUCGGGGCAUUAGGCAGGUCAACGACAGUUCUUUCUCGCGUCGAAGGACCUCGCGGUAGGUAGCCAGCCUUCAAAGGAGGGUGAUAUAGCCGCUUGAACGCCCGAUUAGCGUGUGGAGGGAUUGAGGACUGCAGGGCGCAUUGGGGUCCCGGUGGCGGGCGUAAGGUUUUCGGUAGACUGCGUGCAGGCUGCUGGAAGCACGAAACUCCUUUUUAUCCGCCGGGUCGAUCUCUCCGUUUCCCUAAGGUUGUUGGAAAAUGGUUUCAUACCACCCGUCUUAAACACGGCCAAGGAGUCUAACAUGAUGCGAGUGUAGGGUAUUGAAACCCGACGCGAGUCAAAGCAUUCAGAUGGAUCCGUCCUCCCUUUAUUGCGGGGGGUGGUGCACCGUCGGCCGGGUCAGGAUAUUUUACAUUGAAAGAUACAANNNGCAUGNNUGUUGGGNCCCUNAAGAUGGUNANCNNUGCCU
Molecule: ribosomal RNA, 748 nt
Filed under: Gonapodya polymorpha
Lineage: Eukaryota; Fungi; Monoblepharomycota; Monoblepharidomycetes; Monoblepharidales; Gonapodyaceae
Description: eukaryotic LSU rRNA
Rfam family: Eukaryotic large subunit ribosomal RNA
Source: RNAcentral